GCCCCCCAGAGCUUGGUGAUGUCCCAGGACGGUCCUCCCAGGAAACAUUUUGAACAAGUUGAUGAAGUGCCUGAUGGACGUGGCUCUCGUCACGAAAUGAGUUUGGAUCCGAGAAGCCCUCUUCUUCAUCGGAAAACAGGACAAAGAUGAGCUGCGUGCCCAUAAUUCCACGUUUACGCUGAUUCCUCCAGUGCCUCAUCAGCAGCUACGUUCUGGAUGGCUAGCAUGUACCGAAGGCACAAAACCUCCAGAGUUGGCAGAGUCAAGUCCUGGCGUGCCCGAGGCUAUCCAGGGGAACACGCGGGACAGACAGCACCCUCAGCCUGUCCCCAUGACCCUCUGCUCCAGUCUGAGGGGCAGGACACCAUGAGACCUCUCAGACACAGAGUCCACCCUCGACAUGACCCGGAUGAAAGGCAGGAGUGUGUGCCCUGCUUUUGCCCUCGAAGCUCCCUAAAGGGGACCCAUCUCUGCAAGCCCACAGCCCUACCUGCAGCAUCCACAGCCUCAGAGAGCAGCGGGGCCCCUUAACCCUGAACCCCCUCCAAGAGCAUCAGGACAACAAGCCUUGAGCUGUGGAGACAAGAGAAUCAGUAUCCCUGGCCCAGGGAGGAUUCCAGGAGAGGACAGGGGCAGGAGUCCUGGCCCAGAGCCAGAACCAAGAGUCCAGCCAGAGGCGGCUAGAGCAUCGCCUCUUCACGCAAGUGUCUUGAAACUCAGCUUGAAGAUUUCAGCAAAUGUGUCUUACAGAGAAGAGAAGAGGGAGUCAGUCCAUCGGGAUUAAAAAUAUAGAGGCAGUGACGACACACACUCGGCUUCAGUUCUUAGGAGAGUUUUGGUUUUGAUUUUUUUUUUUUUGAGAAGAUUUUUUUUUUAAUGGAUCUACACUGUUAACUGAGACUCUGUUGAGAUUCACUGGUUUACUUAAAAACUUCUCAGGGAUGUCUGUAAAUUUCAGUGUUAUAUGUCAUGAAAACUGGUGUGGGCAGAUCUGUUGGUUGAAAUAAUUUCUACUGUUUCAAAUACUGAAGGCAGGAAUAAUUGGUUUAUACUGUGUUUUAAAUAAAAGUAUUACUGGUAAGUCCCCCAGGACAUUAAACCUUAAAAAUCAUU
This 1113-nucleotide long non-coding RNA is filed under the name Pan troglodytes (chimpanzee). RNAcentral describes it as "lincRNA". The record is from RNAcentral. Lineage: Eukaryota; Metazoa; Chordata; Mammalia; Primates; Hominidae.